This is a long non-coding RNA of Macaca fascicularis (crab-eating macaque), 2362 nucleotides long. The record is from Ensembl. NCBI's taxonomy places the organism in Eukaryota, Metazoa, Chordata, Mammalia, Primates, Cercopithecidae.
UGGGUUCGCUCCCUUCUCCCCAUGUCCCCUUGCUUGCUCCGUCCCACCGCCUUGCUGUUCUUCACUCGUGCACACACACUCCUGCCAGGGCACCGGUUGUGUCUUCCGCCUGGAACAUUCUUCCGUGGCGCCCUCUCCCGCAUGGAGUCUCUGCUCAUGUCACCUCCUCGGUGAGCCUGCCCUGCCCGCCCCAUUCAUUGCUGGACAUACGACGCACUCGCUCCUGCCCGUUACGCGCUUUGUCUUUCUCCAGAGCACAGCCUCUUUGGGCGCGCAGUUUUCCGACCUGACUCGUGUGUUUGCGGUUUAGGCAGCCUCCCUACACUGCUGGGUGCUGAACAGGCUCCCUGAGGGCAGGGAUUUUGGUCCGUCCUGUCUCCCCAUGUUCCCAGUGCUCACCGAGGUGCCUGGCACACGGGGCUCUUGCAAAAUUGUUGCUGAGUGAAUGAGUGACAUGGGUUGGGUGAGCACCCUGUGGCAUGUUGUAUGGAUCAGAUGCCACAGGGGCUGCACCAUCCACUGGGUUGUCUUCACUGGUCAUAGGUGGACUCCUCAGGGGCCCUGUCACUCUACUUGGAUUGAACUUGGCAGCUGGAAGGGGCUCAGGACAGCUUUAGCCCUGGACACAACCCCGUGAUUGACCCUACAGGGUCCAGUAUGAUCCUUCUAUUGUGCAAUGCUGUGCAAGUGACAUCAUCUCCACGGCCUCAGUUUCCUUAUAGAAGGGGACCUGUUUCAUGUUGGGAGGAUUCAGUGCAGUCACGCAUAACAUGCUUAGGACAGUGUCUGGCAUGUGAGCCUCAGUGACAGUUUUAUUGUUACACCUGAUGGUGUGUCAAUGCUUUGUUGUUUUUGCUUUUGAGAUAAGAGUCUCACUACCGUGCCCAGGCUGGAGUACAGUAUUGCGAUCUCAGCUCACUGCAGCCUUGACCUGCAGGGCUCAAGCAGUCUUCCCACCUCAGCUUCCCAAGUAGCUAGAACUACAGGCACGUGCCACCACGCCCUGCUAAUUUUUGUUUUGUUUUGUUUUGUAUAGACGGGGUUUAGCCAUGUUGCCCAGGCUGGUCUUAAACUCCUGGACUCAAGCAAUCUGCCCACCUUGGCCUCCCAAAGUGCAGGGAUUACAGGGGCAUGAGCCACUGUGCCCAGCCUUGAUGAAGCUUUGUAAUGGAAGCUGAGAUGCCACCAACUGGGGCCCAGUUUGGUUCCAUGGCUUUAGCCCACAGCUGGGCCACCUGCACUACAGAGGGAUCUGGUGGUCUCAGCUGUCAUGAGGGAGAGAGGCGCUGGCUUGAGAACCAGAACUAUGUUCAAGUCCUGACUCGGCCACCUCCUUAAUUGUCCUUUUGGGAAAAUCUUGCCAUCUUUCUGAGUCUCGUUUUCUCCAUCUGUUAAAACAGGGCAGUUUAAAUGAAGUACCAGAGUGGUUGAGAGAUUUAAAUGAGACCCUGAGUGCCAGUGCUUAUUUGUUCCAUUUUAUUUAUAUGCUGUCUCAAUAAAAAAACGAAAAGACAAAAAGGAAUUGAGCUGAAAAGGAUUGAAACUGUGCGGGCAGCUGCAAGUGAAGGAGUCCAAGAAAAUGCUGUUUGUGAGGCACUGUUGACAUGCUCGGGGCUAACCACUGUGUGCUUCUGAGGCUGUGUGCUUCUGAGCCUCCUAGCAGCCUGAGUGAUGAGGGAAACAUGCUCAGAUCCUUGAUUCUCAGCAGCAAGCCAGACUAAGGCCUUAUUAAGGGGCCCUGCCUUGAAGGCUCCAGUGACUCAGAGGGGAGCUCCUAAGCACUGGUGAGUCCGUGCUCAGAAGGGCACAGCUGGCUGCGAGUAACUAGAUCCUGAAAGCCAGCCAAGGGGCAGCUGGGUCAAUCUGACCUUAGCAGGUCCACGGAAGCCCUUUACGCCAAGCAAGCUGUUGCCUUGCCUCUCUGAGUUCCUCUUACCUUGCUUUGCUAAAGCCUUUGUUCGUGCUGCCAGGGGAUUUAGAGUCUGAAUGGCAGCCCCAGGCCAUGCCCUCCCCAUAGCUUACACCAGUUGUGUAACUUGGAAUGUCCCCCACAGAGGCAGGUCCCAAGUAGAGAACAAUGGCCCACUAAGGCCAGGCACAGUGGCUCACCUGUAAUCCCAGCAGGCAGAUCACCUGAGGUCAGGAGUUCAAAACCAGCCUAACCAACAUGGUGAAACCCCACCUCUACUAAAAAUACAAAGUUAGCCAGUGUGGUGGCGCAUGUCUGUAAUCCCAGCUACUCAGGAGGCUGAGGCAGGAGAAUUGCUUGAGGCAGAGGUUGUGGUGAGCCGAGAUUGCACCAUUGCGCUCCAGCCUGGGCAACAAGAGCAAAACUCCGUCUCAAAAAAAAAAAAAAGAAAAA